This 513-nucleotide ribosomal RNA is filed under the name uncultured bacterium. RNAcentral's name for it is "partial 16S ribosomal RNA". It matches the Rfam family "Bacterial small subunit ribosomal RNA", at positions 28 to 523 of the family's 1533-position model. The record is from RNAcentral.
GAUGAGCGCUGGCGGCGUGCCUAAUACAUGCAAGUCGAGCGAACAGACGAGGAGCUUGCUCCUCUGACGUUAGCGGCGGACGGGUGAGUAACACGUGGAUAACAUACCUAUAAGACUGGGAUAACUUCGGGAAACAGGAGCUAAUACCGGAUAAUAUAUUGAACCGCAUGGCUCAAUAGUGAAAGAUGGGUUUGCUGUCACUUAUAGAUGGAUACGCGCCGCAUUAGCUAGUUGGUAAGGUAACGGCUUACCAAGGCAACGAUGCGUAGCCGACCUGAGAGGGUGAUCGGCCACGCUGGAACUGUGACACGGUCCAGACUCCUACGGGGGGCAGCAGUAGGGAAUCUUCCGCAAUGGGCGAAAGCCUGACGGAGCAACGCCGCGUGAGUGAUGAAGGUCUUCGGAUCGUAAAACUCUGUUAUUAGGGAAGAACAAAUGUGUAAGUAACUAUGCACGUCUUGACGGUACCUAAUCAGAAAGCCACGGCUAACUACGUGCCAGCCGCCGCAGUAA